AUGAACGCUAGCGGGAGGCCUAACACAUGCAAGCCGAGCGGUAUUGUUUCUUCGGAAAUGAGAGAGCGGCGUACGGGUGCGUAACACGUGUGCAACCUGCCUUUAUCUGGGGGAUAGCCUUUCGAAAGGAAGAUUAAUACUCCAUAAUAUAUUGAACGGCAUCGUUUAAUAUUGAAAGCUCCGGCGGAUAGAGAUGGGCACGCGCAAGAUUAGCUAGUUGGUGAGGUAACGGCUCACCAAGGCGAUGAUCUUUAGGGGGCCUGAGAGGGUGAUCCCCCACACUGGUACUGAGACACGGACCAGACUCCUACGGGGGGCAGCAGUGAGGAAUAUUGGUCAAUGGGUGCAAGCCUGAACCAGCCAUCCCGCGUGAAGGACGACUGCCCUAUGGGUUGUAAACUUCUUUUGUAUAGGGAUAAACCUACCCUCGUGAGGGUAGCUGAAGGUACUAUACGAAUAAGCACCGGCUAACUCCGUG
This 478-nucleotide ribosomal RNA is filed under the name uncultured bacterium. Its description in RNAcentral is "partial 16S ribosomal RNA". It matches the Rfam family "Bacterial small subunit ribosomal RNA", at positions 29 to 507 of the family's 1533-position model. The record is from RNAcentral.